This 253-nucleotide ribosomal RNA is filed under the name uncultured bacterium. Its description in RNAcentral is "partial 16S ribosomal RNA". It matches the Rfam family "Bacterial small subunit ribosomal RNA", at positions 524 to 776 of the family's 1533-position model. The record is from RNAcentral.
UACAGAGGGGGCAAGCGUUGUUCGGAAUUACUGGGCGUAAAGGGCGCGUAGGCGGCCCGCUAAGUCGAACGUGAAAUCCCCGGGCUCAACCCGGGAACUGCGUCCGAUACUGGCGGGCUUGAAUCCGGGAGAGGGAUGCGGAAUUCCAGGUGUAGCGGUGAAAUGCGUAGAUACCAGGAGGAACACCGGUGGCGAAGGCGGUUUCCUGGCCCAGUACUGACGCUGAGGCACGAAAGCGUGGGGAGCGAACGGG